This is a non-coding RNA of Protopterus annectens (West African lungfish), 73 nucleotides long. Lineage: Eukaryota; Metazoa; Chordata; Ceratodontiformes; Protopteridae. The record is from the annotation of a RefSeq genome assembly.
GCUUCUGUAGUGUAGUGGUUAUCACAUCUGCUUUGUAUGCAGAAGGUCCUGGGUUCAAUCCCCAGUAGAAACA